UACAGAGGUGGCAAGCGUUGUUCGGAUUUACUGGGCGUAAAGGGUGCGUAGGCGGUUCUGUAUGUCGGGUGUGAAAUCCCACGGAUCAUCCGUGGAACUGCAUUCGAAACUACAGGGCUUGAGUACAGGAGAGGAAGGUGGAAUUCUCGGUGUAGCGGUGAAAUGCGUUGAUAUCGAGAGGAACGCCGGAGGCGAAGGCGACCUUCUGGACUGUAACUGACGCUGAGGCACGAAAGCUAGGGGAGCAAACAGG
RNAcentral lists this ribosomal RNA (253 nucleotides) under uncultured bacterium. RNAcentral describes it as "partial 16S ribosomal RNA". It matches the Rfam family "Bacterial small subunit ribosomal RNA", at positions 524 to 776 of the family's 1533-position model. The record is from RNAcentral.